GAUGAACGCUGGCGGCGUGCCUAAUACAUGCAAGUCGAGCGAACAGACGAGGAGCUUGCUCCUCUGACGUUAGCGGCGGACGGGUGAGUAACACGUGGAUAACCUACCUAUAAGACUGGGAUAACUUCGGGAAACCGGAGCUAAUACCGGAUAACAUGUUGAACCGCAUGGUUCAACAGUGAAAGACGGUCUUGCUGUCACUUAUAGAUGGAUCCGCGCCGCAUUAGCUAGUUGGUAAGGUAACGGCUUAUCAAGGCGACGAUGCGUAGCCGACCUGAGAGGGUGAUCGGCCACACUGGAACUGAGACACGGUCCAGACUCCUACGGGAGGCAGCAGUAGGGAAUCUUCCGCAAUGGGCGAAAGCCUGACGGAGCAACGCCGCGUGAGUGAAGAAGGUCUUCGGAUCGUAAAACUCUGUUAUUAGGGAAGAACAAAUGUGUAAGUAACUAUGCACGUCUUGACGGUACCUAAUCAGAAAGCCACGGCUAACUACGUG
This 497-nucleotide ribosomal RNA is filed under the name uncultured bacterium. Its description in RNAcentral is "partial 16S ribosomal RNA". It matches the Rfam family "Bacterial small subunit ribosomal RNA", at positions 28 to 507 of the family's 1533-position model. The record is from RNAcentral.